This is a long non-coding RNA of Dryobates pubescens (Downy woodpecker), 601 nucleotides long. RefSeq lists it as uncharacterized. The transcript has 5 exons. Lineage: Eukaryota; Metazoa; Chordata; Aves; Piciformes; Picidae. The record is from RefSeq and is a predicted model, not a curated record.
CACUGAGCUAUAGAUUAAAAAGGAAAGAAAAAAUGUUAGCCAUCUGUGCUGAGCGACAAAGCAUGCCAGAUGCACAGGCAACCCUUUGUAAAAGAGACGCUAAUUUCUGAACCCAAGAACACCAUUAUAUCAAAGUCCAUUCUGCAUAGCUUUCCUUCUUGAACAGUCAGGUCUCCAGGAGCCUGCAGAAAAUGAGGCCGGAAGAAUCGUUCCUGAAUUGGUUCAUUUUCAUCACCACUGUCCCUUGAUCGAGAUCGUGGUCUUAAAAUAACAUGAAAUAAAGGUCUGGGCCAAAGAGGUUAACUAGCACCACAGGAAUAUGAAAGUCCUUUUGAAAGCCACCAGAGCUCACUGCUGCAGUUGCAUAAAAAGUUGGACAGUGUUGAGAUUCUGUGGCUUUUGUGACUACAAAGCAGAACAGGUGCCUCAUCACAGUCAGAUCCAGACCCAGAGUGUUCAUACUCCCUUGAAACCAGUUCGGUUUGGGCACUAGAGGUAGCAAAUUUGGGAUGGACUGCCUGCAGACAGAACUGCUGCCAGACAGGGCUCUGCAGAAUUCACCAUAUAAGGGGUAAAAGCAUCUGGUGGUAUUAAUACAGAU